GAAAAGAGGAAUAUGUGGAUGAGUUUUGCACCUUAAACUGCCUCAUACCUCAAGCCACAGCAUUUGCGGCUCCCCCAUGCCCCCCUCCCAUCCCCUUCUUAGGAGAGCCUUUAAUAUGUAAAUGCCAGUGAUCAGGUCGGGAGCUGCUACAGUCAAUUUCAAGUGGGGUGGGGUGGGGUGAGGUCAGGUGGGUGGGAGGGAGUGGGGGGUCGGCAGGCCUGUUUCUAGGAUUUUGGGGUCCCUAGGCAACGGGAUUGUUGGGGGCCCUAGGGCAUUUUUUGGCCUUUUACUAAAAUGUGUGUGUGUGUGUGUCUGUGUGUAUGUUUGUUCACGCUGCCCAGUGGUGUUUUUCAGAAUCACUAACCAUUAAACCAGGGGUAGUGAACCUAUGUCUCGAGGGCCCUUGAGGCCGUUUUAUCCGGCCCCUGAUAUCAUUAUAAUGUUUUGCAACUUCACAUGAAAUAGGCCUAUGACAUAUUUUGCAGGCCUAAAGGAAUCUUAGAAAUUACAUUUCCAAUGCAAUUAAGUUAGGCCUAUAUUCAGGGGACCUAGAAAAGGUGGGGACUGUUUUAAAUGUGUCUACCUUUAAAGGUGUCUAUAUGUCUAUAUAGGCCUAAUGGUGUCUAUAUAUGCCUAAAUUUCAUGGGGAAAUCCUGAUUUGUGUUCAUAGUACGGCCCCCGGAGGAUUUUAUGACCAUGGUAGGAAUUUGAAGUGGCCCUUCGAAUGAAAAAGGUUCCCCACCCCUGCAUUAAACCUUUCUUCUAGCCACAGCUCUGCUGUCAGUACAUUUUAUUAUGAUACUAUAAGCUCAGAAAUGAAGUUGAUCAAACAAUUCGGUGCUAACAUUUAAAUGAACCGAAUAGAAAUCAGAAUAGAAACAUCUGAAUGAUCUUUCUUGGACAUAGCCUACAUUUUGAAGUGACCCUUUGAAUUAAAAAGGUUCCUCACCCCUGCUUUUGAGGAAAAACAUCAAUGUGCUUGGCCACUCUGGUUUUUAAAUUAUUCUGAACUAGCAAGGAUUGUUCAAGGAAGUUCAAAACAGACUGUCUCUGGUUAAAUUAGUUCUACACCAAGCCUUUAGGUGGCAGUACAACUAAUUCGCACAAUGCGAAUUCCACACACAAGCCACAAAGAAGCCAUCUACCGCGGUCAACAACACCGACCUAUCUGAACAACACCACGCGCUGUCUGUGUGGUUUCACUGUUACAAGUUUCUUGGCGAUAUGGGGGAAAGUUCCUCACAUACCAACGGAAAAUGGGCUUCACAUACAUGCUGCUGUCUCAUAAUAUGGCGAAGACGAGUCACUUGAAGGCCUAACAGCUCUUAUGAGGAGCAGUCUUGCCAUAGAAGACUGAAAGAAUGUAAGAUUAACUUCUUUGUGACCAAUAUGACUUGCUCAUUGAUACAUUAGCUAUGUCAAUAUGAGAUGCAUGGCGAAGUAUUUAAUUUAUUUGUCUCUCUUCUAGGAGCUGUAGAAACAACAGGGUGCCUGCUGCAGUAUGACGAGGACGCCCUGAUCAUAGAAGGUCCAGUGUCUUGGCAGGGUGAAAUGGCACUGAUAUCGUGUCCUGCAGGAUGCUGUGUCCUGCAAUCCUGUGUGCUGUGCUACAGACGCGUGUGGAGGUCAACCCGAAAUGGGCACAGUAGAGUGAAAGAGGAUCCUGGCAGGGAGACGGUAGUGUCCUGCAGGAUGGUGAUGGGCAAUCUUACAAGAGACCACAGAAAACUGAUAUAGUGUAAGAUUAUCCCUGUUGGGCUCAAUAUGUCUUGCUUAUUGAUAUAUUUGCUAUGUCAAUAUGAGGUGCAUGACGAAGUAUUUAUUUAUUUGUUAUUUCUACAGCUCCCAGAAGUGAGACUGAGUGCCUGUUGCAGUAUGACGAGGAAGCAGUGACCAGAGACCUUCAGUAGACCCUGCUGGCAUGAUUGGCGGCUGAAGAACAUAAUCAACAGCAAUGUUUACUUUAUAAUAUUGUACAUACCUGUAUAGUCUGCACUAAAAUGCUGUACCUGUACUAUUUUUCCUCUUACUUUCAUAUUUACCACAUAUUUACUAUGAAUUGACAACUUUUACUCAAAUCCAUUUUUGUAUGUGCCCUGACUAAAACUAUCCUUAAACCUAACCUGUCAGAGGUGUAAUAACAACCUGCUCUUAGCAAUGUGGCAGCAGUCUACUUGGAUGCAGCGGGGAACAUAGAACCCUUUUUUUGAAAAAGCAUUGUAUGUUUCUGAGUUUUAUGAAUUGUGCCCUUCCCAAACCUAACCUGUCGUAGGGGCCUAUGAAAUCCGUUUUAUUUUUCCU
This is a long non-coding RNA of Engraulis encrasicolus (European anchovy), 2301 nucleotides long. RefSeq lists it as uncharacterized. The record is from RefSeq and is a predicted model, not a curated record. The transcript has 4 exons. NCBI's taxonomy places the organism in Eukaryota, Metazoa, Chordata, Actinopteri, Clupeiformes, Engraulidae.